This 492-nucleotide ribosomal RNA is filed under the name uncultured bacterium. RNAcentral describes it as "partial 16S ribosomal RNA". It matches the Rfam family "Bacterial small subunit ribosomal RNA", at positions 29 to 507 of the family's 1533-position model. The record is from RNAcentral.
AGUGAACGCUGGCGGUAGGCCUAACACAUGCAAGUCGAACGGCAGCACAGUAAAAGCUUGCUCUUACGGGUGGCGAGUGGCGGACGGGUGAGGAAUACAUCGGAAUCUACUUUUUCGGGGGGGAUAACGUAGGGAAACUUACGCUAAUACCGCAUACGACCUACGGGGGAAAGCAGGGGAUCUUCGGACCUUGCCCGAUUGAAUGAGCCGAUGUCGGAUUAGCUAGUUGGCGGGGUAAAGGCCCACCAAGGCGACGAUCCGUAGCUGGUCUGAGAGGAUGAUCAGCCACACUGGAACUGAGACACGGUCCAGACUCCUACGGGAGGCAGCAGUGGGGAAUAUUGGACAAUGGGCGCAAGCCUGAUCCAGCCAUACCGCGUGGGUGAAGAAGGCCUUCGGGUUGUAAAGCCCUUUUGUUGGGAAAGAAAAGCAGCAGGUUAAUACCCCGCUGUUCUGACGGUACCCAAAGAAUAAGCACCGGCUAACUUCGUG